CAGUGGUGUGGUUCAUCGCUGCUCUGUGUUGAGCUACGAGGUCCUACUACAGGCAGUGGAUCUUGUUAGUCUUUCCCUUGUCUUCGUGGGUUAUUUCGCUACGGGGAAAACGUAGGUCCUGUGUGGAUGAAAGGUGGUGGUUACGACCUCCGGUCCAUCCUCUGGGCUAUUCUGCUGCUAAGAUAGCUGCACUUUGGGAGCUGAGACUGCACGUUUCUCCGGCAACUAACAAGAUUGGCCACCAGGCGAGUGUCCGCCCUCACAAGGGGCUGCUGUUUUGUCUUGUAAAAUAAUACGUGUUGGUUCCAUUGAUUAAUUUCUCAUCUGGUCAUCAUAGCGUGGGCUGCUAGCUUUGGUGGCUGGGCCUUGGUUGUUACCUCACGGGCUUGCUGCAUGUCUACAGCUUGCUUUGUCUACAGCUUGUUACAUUAUAUGUACUGCUGGUGAGAGUAUCUUUUUGUAUUAUUUGUGUGUGUGUGGUUUUCCUUUCCUUUUGUGUCACUCCAUAUUUUGUGUGUGUGUGGUUUUCUUUUUCUUUUGUGUCACUCCAUAUUUUGUGUGUGUGUGGUUUUCUUUUCUUAUAUCACUCCAUAUUCUGUGUGUGUGUGUGUGUGUGUGUGUGUGUGUGUGUGUGUGUGUGUGUGUGUGUGUGUGUGUGUAUUUGUGUGUGCUGCAUAUGGUGUACCUAACUUCUGUUAACCUCCAGUGGUGGAAGACACCUGGGGUCUC
This is a long non-coding RNA of Sardina pilchardus (European sardine), 729 nucleotides long. RefSeq lists it as uncharacterized. The transcript has 3 exons. The record is from RefSeq and is a predicted model, not a curated record. Lineage: Eukaryota; Metazoa; Chordata; Actinopteri; Clupeiformes; Clupeidae.